Non-coding RNA from Pelobates cultripes (western spadefoot toad), 1218 nucleotides. NCBI's taxonomy places the organism in Eukaryota, Metazoa, Chordata, Amphibia, Anura, Pelobatidae. The record is from the annotation of a GenBank genome assembly.
CUGCCAGCCAUGAAUGUUCCUUUAACUAUUAAAAUGCCAACUGAAUUCAUAUGAAAGAUUACUUAUUUAAUAGACACAUGUAUGUGUAGAGGUUUGUUUUUUCCUGCGCAAAUUGUAUUUGAAAUCACUUGGCUAUUUUUGAGUUAUUAGGAUGAGCAAAUGCAUUGUUCCUCUCUUCAAUGCACUUCCUCAGCCCAAUGUUUAAGUGGGAAGCUUUUGAGAAAUCUUUUUUUUUUCCUGUCAUAUAGUGGCAGUGCAUACAGUGGGGUGCGUACUCCUUAUCGGGAUAAGCAGACUGCAAAAUAAAAUAAAUACAUUUAAAUAAUCACUCCUCCUUAUCCUGACAAUAUAAGCCAAAUACCUCUGCAUUUGUCAUUCUGGUUAGGCACACAGAUUGCUGCCAGGGGUAUCCCGUCUGAGAGCUCCCUUGGUAGUGAGCCGACAGAGACUGCUCCAGUGAGUGAAGUGCACAUUUUUAUGCAGAGUGCGAUUUCCGGCAUUCUCUGGAAGCAUUCCUGAGUGGCUCGCCUAUUGCAAAGCAGACUUGGGCAUGCUUCCCACUGCUGUGCACAGACCAAAAAUGCCUUGCGUUUCACCAAAGUUCCAAAUGCACUAUUGCGCUUUUCUGAACUUUAUUUUUUUUGUCAAAAUUUGGAAUUGGUGCGGUUGGAGUGUAAAUGUAAAGAAAAAAGCACCUUUACGUCUCAGGCCUUUUCUCAUUUAGGAUUUAGCCUCCAAUGUUCUGAAUAGAAGAUUUUUCAAAUCUAUUCUUCGUACACGGCCUCCUUGCAAAUCUCCUUUUCUAUCUGUGAUUUGUCUUUGUACUUCAUGCAUUUUGUGAUUCUCAUCUGAACCCUUGGAGGAAGUUUCACUUAAGCAUCUCUCUCAAGACGGUUUCUGGUGGGCAUUACAAUUACAAAAUUGGAGAAAUUCAGGCUCUAUCUUCUUCAGAUGAAUUCACCAUUUUACAUCAGGACAAAAGUUAUCCUUCACCUGAAACCAUCCUUUUUGCCUAAGGUUUUAUCCAAAUGAUCAAUUAAUCAUCUGCCGUCUUUUUGCAGUUCCGCCUCAUCUGGUCAAGAAAAGAAAUAGAUAGCACCUUCUGGAAAUAGAUAGCACCGUAUGAAUUUACCUUGUCCGUUCUGCUGAAUUCAGAUAAUUGGAUCAUCUCUUCAGUAACUUUCAAGAAAACCGGCUUGGAAAGAAAACUUCGAAACC